CACAUGCAAGUCGAGCGGUAACAGACAUUUUGAUUUUGCUUGCAAAAUCUCGUGCUGACGAGCGGCGAACGGGUGAGUAACGCGUAGGAAUCUACCUAGUAGAAGGGGAUAGCCCGAGGAAACUCGGAUUAAUACCGUAUACGUCCUUAGGGAGAAAGAGGGCUUAGCUUUGAUGCUCUCGCUAUUAGAUGAGCCUGCGUAAGAUUAGCUUGUUGGUGAGGUAAAGGCUCACCAAGGCGACGAUCUUUAGCUGGUCUGAGAGGACGAUCAGCCACAUUGGGACUGAGACACGGCCCAGACUCCUACGGGAGGCAGCAGUGGGGAAUAUUGGACAAUGGGCGCAAGCCUGAUCCAGCCAUACCGCGUGUGUGAAGAAGGCCUUCGGGUUGUAAAGCACUUUAAGUAAGGAAGAAAAGAGUAUUGUUAAUACCAUUACUCCGUGACAUUACUUACAGAAUAAGGACCGGCUAAUUCCGUGCCAGCAGCCGCGGUAAUACGGAAGGUCCAAGCGUUAAUCGGAAUUACUGGGCGUAAAGCGCGCGUAGGUGGUUUAUUAAGUUGGGUGUGAAAGCCCCGGGCUCAACCUGGGAACUGCAUCCAAAACUGAUUCACUAGAGUACGAAAGAGGAAAGUAGAAUUCACAGUGUAGCGGUGGAAUGCGUAGAUAUUGUGAAGAAUACCGAUGGCGAAGGCAGCUUUCUGGUUCUGUACUGACACUGAGGUGCGAAAGCGUGGGUAGCGAACAGGAUUAGAUACCCUGGUAGUCCACGCCGUAAACGAUGACAACUAGCUGUUGGGAAGCUAUGCUUUUCAGUGGCGCAGCUAACGUCUUAAGGUGUCCGCCUGGGGAGUACGGCCGCAAGGUUAAAACUCAAAUGAAUUGACGGGGACCCGCACAAGCGGUGGAGCAUGUGGUUUACUUCGAUGCAACGCGGAAAACCUUACCUACACUUGACAUACUUGGCAUCUUUGUAUGAAAGAGUGCCUUUUGGAGCAGAUACAGUGCUGCAUGCUGUCGUCAGCUCGUGUCAUGAGAUGUUGGUUAGUCCAUAACGAGCGCCACCCUUAACCUUAUUGCCAGGCGAUUCGGUCGGGAACUAUUAAGGGGGACUGUC
RNAcentral lists this ribosomal RNA (1115 nucleotides) under uncultured Gammaproteobacteria bacterium. Its description in RNAcentral is "bacterial SSU rRNA". It matches the Rfam family "Bacterial small subunit ribosomal RNA", at positions 52 to 1153 of the family's 1533-position model. The record is from RNAcentral. Lineage: Bacteria; Pseudomonadati; Pseudomonadota; Gammaproteobacteria.